UACAGAGGUCUCAAGCGUUGUUCGGAUUCAUUGGGCGUAAAGGGUGCGUAGGUGGCGCGCUAAGUCGGGUGUGAAAUCCCGGGGCUUAACCUCGGGACUGCAUUCGAUACUGGCGUGCUUGAGGACUGGAGAGGUGACUGGAAUUCAUGGUGUAGCAGUGAAAUGCGUAGAGAUUAGGAAGAACACCAGUGGCGAAGGCGACUUACUGGACUGUAACUGACGCUGAGGCAUGAAAGCGUGGGGAGCAAACAGG
This 253-nucleotide ribosomal RNA is filed under the name uncultured bacterium. RNAcentral's name for it is "partial 16S ribosomal RNA". It matches the Rfam family "Bacterial small subunit ribosomal RNA", at positions 524 to 776 of the family's 1533-position model. The record is from RNAcentral.